Long non-coding RNA from Formica exsecta, 2361 nucleotides. RefSeq lists it as uncharacterized. Lineage: Eukaryota; Metazoa; Arthropoda; Insecta; Hymenoptera; Formicidae. The record is from RefSeq and is a predicted model, not a curated record. The transcript has 2 exons.
UAAUAACGGCCACUAUAAUGAACAGCCAGUACGCGCACAAAUAGCACGAACGUUCGAUGAUGAGACAAGAAUAAUUUAUUUAUUAUGCAUAGCAACAAUGUUUAUCUGUUAUCGUAGCGAACAAAAUAAAAUUAUCACGAGAUAUGGAUUUGUUUUAUCAGUUACAAUCCAUCGUAAAUUUAGAUUUUGUUCGCGACUCGCUUAUACAGUGUUUUAUAUAGCGACAGCGUAGUGACGAUAUUUUUAUCAUUUAAUAAACGUUUAUAAAAAAAUAUCGACGAUCUUAAUGAUAUAUAUUUUCCAAGUGCAUAUCGUCAUAAUUGAAAUAGAAAUCAAGUCUCUUUCAAGAUAAAUGGCAUCUCAAAAGAGAUGUUACAUAAAGUUCUUUACAGUUUCCAAAAGAGAUUUGGUUUCUGUUUCUAUUCUGAUUCGAUGCGCACUUUGAAAAUAUAUUAAAUCAUUAUAAUAUUAAACACAAUAUCACAAUAUGAUCAGAAAAUGUUUAAAAUGUCAUAGUGAUAGAUUUUUGAGCGCCUGUGCGAUGCAAUAAGUGGAUACAAUAAGACAAACGGAUGCCAAUAUUUUUAUUUUUAAAAAGUCAAGAGGCUAAGUAAAAAUCCAUUCCCUCCAGGGAAAAAGAAAUAAAAUUCUCUCUCUUUUUUAUUUAUAUGAAUAUUAUUAUUCGCAAAUUAUAUAUAUACCAAUUACAUUUCUUCAAUGCAUUUGAAACUUGUAAUGUUUUUUCUUCAAUCAAACUUUAUUGCACCCAAUGAUGUAAAAUGCAUCAAACCAAAGAAAAAUUUAAUUAUAUCUAAGAACGUAAUUGUAUACAUUACUCGCAUGUAUUUUUCUCAUAUGUUUCUUAUAGGGAUUCAGAUGUCAGAAGUGGAACCACUGGGCAGCGGAACGGAUGCAAUCAACGGGAUGGUAUCACAGGGCGACGAGCGCGAAGAAGAUACGACGGACUUGAAAAUAACUUUCAGGAAAAAAAAGUUAAAUAAAAACGUACGGGUAUCGGAGGCGCCGGGCAAAUCGCAAGUGAAACCAUUUCCUAUGGCGGAGGUAAUCGAGCUUCGGCGACUCGCUGACGAAUAUAAGGUAAUCCGUAGGAUACGUUUUGUUAUUUCAGAAGGUUUGGUUAUUUCAAGGUUUUUCUUCGAAUUAGCACGCGCUGAUUUUCUUCACGCAGUUCAUUCCUCUCGUGUAAAUAACCCCUAUCAUAGUUUCUCAUUCUACGUAUCCACUCAAUUGCACACAAUUGCUUAAUUAAUCUAAUUAAACAUCGAGUUUACUUUUCAACGUUCAGGCAUCAAUAAACAAUUUUUCAAUCGUCAAAAUUUUGUAUGUUUUGUAUCGUUUUCUUGUAUUACGUGACGUUUCAUGUAACAACGAAAAUUCAACGGUUACAAGUGUGCAAUCGAGGGAUGCAAAUCGCUGCUGUAAGCAACGGUAUAAUACAUCACACUGAUAAUACACGGCUUUCGAUCUUCGUCGUUAACACUUUUUUUUUUAAACAAUUGUUGAAAACGAUUAUUUGAAAAGUAGACUCAUUUUAUUUACACGUGAUUUUUCACUAACAAACAAUUCUGUGUCAAAAUUGAUGUUCAAUCGUUUAUCAUUUCGCAGUUUGGUUAUACUAUUUCUGAAUAUAUUCUCAAAUGUUAUCCGAACAAUGUUUUUUCAAGCAUGUUCUGUGUUCUUUUAGGCCGAUUAGCACCGAUGAUCUGAUUAAUUAAGUUUAAUAGUUAAUGAUUAGCACCGAUGAUCUGAUUAAUUAAGUCUAAUAGUUAAUGAUUUGUUAAUUUAAAUAUUUUCAACGUCCCAGACUUAUUUUUUAGACAUAUCAAAACACACUUUUUAUUGUUAUAGCAAAUCUAUGAUUAAGUUAAAAAAUAAUCUUUCUUCAGCUAUAAAAAUACUUAAUGUGAGAAAAAAUUUACAAUUUACAAUAAAUACUAACCUCUGCGAUAAAUACUCUUAUUUUCGAUAUUUCAACUAACAAUAAGAAUAAAUCGGCUCUAGAUUGGUAAAAGAAUUUAAAAAUGAAAGGUUUGCCAAACUUAGUAUUUUGUUUAAACACCAAUAAUUUUCUCGAUUGCCUAAUUCUGUACCUAAUUCAUUCAAUGAUAUAAUAUAAUUAAAGCAAAUAUUGAUCAGCAUUGGUGCAACCGGCUUUUAUAAGAAAAAUAAUGCAAAUAUUUUCCUCCGAUUUUGAUAAGCUUUGGAUGUUAUAGAUGUCUCAAUCAAAAUAAGAAGUACGUAUCUUUUCAUUUAUUUGCUUACAUCGUUCCCGAUUCAGCGACUUCGCUCCGAUAUUUUUCUCGUCUAUGUUUCUUUAAGGAACUCAGGGUGGUUUAUUUU